AACUCUCAAAAAUAGAUCACUUGGCUCACGGGUCGACGAAGAAUACAGCCAGCUGUGAGACAUGGUGUGAACUGCAGGAGACAUUCAGCACUGAUUUUUCGAACGCGCAUUGCGGUGUGGAGUGAUACCGGGACCUGGGCUACCUGAGGAUCA
This 153-nucleotide ribosomal RNA is filed under the name Stegodyphus mimosarum. Its description in RNAcentral is "5.8S ribosomal RNA". It matches the Rfam family "5.8S ribosomal RNA". Rfam says of the family: 5.8S ribosomal RNA (5.8S rRNA) is a component of the large subunit of the eukaryotic ribosome. It is transcribed by RNA polymerase I as part of the 45S precursor that also contains 18S and 28S rRNA. Functionally, it is thought that 5.8S rRNA may be involved in ribosome translocation. The record is from Rfam by way of RNAcentral. Lineage: Eukaryota; Metazoa; Arthropoda; Arachnida; Araneae; Eresidae.